GAGCAAUCUGCUCCCUCAGAGCCUGAUUCUCCGCCAGUAAUUGUUCCAUCAAUGCAUCUCUACUUCCUACCUCUCCUUGAUCAUCAACCCUCCGUCUAUCAGCAGGAGGAGAUUUUUCUCUUUAGGGGUCGACAUGUGCAGAACCCGCAUCCAAUGCUAUAUCUGGCUCCAUCCUCUUUCCAGGACGAGCAGGUCCUCUCCUUGGAGGUAUUCUUUAUAUGUCUCUAAAGGAGUUAAAAAGAAAGGGCAGUCGUUACACACUGAGUCAUAAUAUAUUUUACUGAAUUGUAAAUGACUCAUAAAUUAAUAUAUAG
RNAcentral lists this long non-coding RNA (314 nucleotides) under Phoenix dactylifera (date palm). RNAcentral describes it as "long non-coding RNA (PDAC_LNC019658)". Lineage: Eukaryota; Viridiplantae; Streptophyta; Magnoliopsida; Arecales; Arecaceae. The record is from RNAcentral.